This 530-nucleotide ribosomal RNA is filed under the name uncultured bacterium. RNAcentral describes it as "bacterial SSU rRNA". It matches the Rfam family "Bacterial small subunit ribosomal RNA", at positions 981 to 1509 of the family's 1533-position model. The record is from RNAcentral.
UUGACAUCCAGAGAAUUUAGCAGAGAUGCUUUAGUGCCUUCGGGAACUCUGAGACAGGUGCUGCAUGGCUGUCGUCAGCUCGUGUUGUGAAAUGGUUGGGUUAACGUCCGCAACGAGCGCAACCCUUAUCCUUUGUUGCCAGCACGUAAUGGUGGGAACUCAAAGGAGACUGCCGGUGAUAAACCGGAGGAAGGUGGGGAUGACGUCAAGUCAUCAUGGCCCUUACGAGUAGGGCUACACACGUGCUACAAUGGCGUAUACAAAGAGAAGCGACCUCGCGAGAGCAAGCGGACCUCAUAAAGUGCGUCGUAGUCCGGAUUGGAGUCUGCAACUCGACUCCAUGAAGUCGGAAUCGCUAGUAAUCGUAAAUCAGAAUGUUACGGUGAAUACGUUCCCGGGCCUUGUACACACCGCCCGUCACACCAUGGGAGUGGGUUGCAAAAGAAGUAGAUAGCUUAACCUUCGGGAGGGCGUUUACCACUUUGUGAUUCAUGACUGGGGUGAAGUCGUAACAAGGUAAGCGUAGUGCU